AUGAGCUGCUUGCCGUGUUUCGGGAAGAAGAAGGAUGGCAACGCCGAGGGAGGGGGCGACGAGCAGGCGGCGGCGGGGCCGAUGACGCCGCCUCCCGCCGUGCACUCGCCCGCGCCCUACCACGCCCCGGCUGCCGCCGCGCCCGUCGCCGUGGCAGCUCCGGCGAGCGUGACGCCGACCAAGCCGGCCGGCGAGAGCGACGCCAACCCGGAGGACGCGCUGCGGCAGGCCAUCGAGGUGAAGGCGUUCGCGUUCAGGGAGCUCGCGGCGGCCACCGACCACUUCACGCCGUACAACCUCGUCGGAGAAGGAGGCUUCUUCAGGGUGUACAAGGGCCAGCUAGAGAAGGAAGGGCAGGCCGUGGCCAUCAAGCAGAUGGACAAGCAUGGCUUCCAAGGCAACAUCGAGUUUCUGACCGAGGUCUCCAAGCUCAGCAAGCUUCACCACGAGAACCUCAUCGACAUCAUCGGCUACUGCGCCGACGGUGACCAGCGGCUCCUCGUCUACGAGCACAUGGACGGCGGCACCUUGGAAGACCACCUCUACGACUUGCCGCCGGAGAAGAAACCGAUGGACUGGACGACAAGGAUGAAGGUGGCCAACGGCGCCGCGCAGGGGCUGGAGUACCUGCACGAGAAAGCGGACCCGCCGGUGGUGUACGGCGACUUCAAGGCCUCCCAAAUCUUGCUCGACGCCAGCUUCACGCCCAAGCUCUCCGACUUCGGCCUCCAGCAGCUCGGCCAGUCCGGCGGUGGCAACAUGCCGAUGGCGUCGCCGAUGAUGGGCGCCUUCGGGUGCCUCGCGCCGGAGUACGACCGCGGCGGCCAGGUCAGCAUGAAGUCCGACGUGUACAGCUUCGGGGUGGUGCUGCUGCAGCUCAUCUCCGGCAGGCGGACCGUCGACACCAGCAAGCCCGUCGAGGAGCAGAACGUCGUCACCUGGGCACAACCGAAGUUCAAAGACCAGAAGAGAUAUCAUGAGCUGGUGGACCCGCUUAUCAAGAGGGAGUACCCGGCCAAAGCGUUGAACCAAGUGGUGGCCAUGGCUUCCAUGUGCUUGCAAGAAGAGGACUGCGUCCGGCCAAUGAUGGGCGAUGUCGUCAUGACGCUAGGCUUCCUCAUGAUGCUGCCGCCGGAUCCGCCCGCCCCAGAGCCAGAGCCAGCCCCCGAGCCGGCACCCAAAAAGGACGACGAAUCGCGUCGCUCUGGAAGCUCGUCGUCUUCUUCGGAUGACGAGGACGGCGGCGAGGGCGAGGAGGAAGAAGAAGAGCAGAGUUAA
This 1278-nucleotide ribosomal RNA is filed under the name Triticum aestivum (bread wheat). RNAcentral describes it as "partial small subunit ribosomal RNA". Lineage: Eukaryota; Viridiplantae; Streptophyta; Magnoliopsida; Poales; Poaceae. The record is from RNAcentral.